AGAGUUUGAUCCUGGCUCAGGACGAACGCUGGCGGCGUGCCUAAUACAUGCAUGUUGAGCGCUGAAGGUUGGUACUUGUACCAACUGGAUGAGCAGCGAACGGGUGAGUAACGCGUGGGGAAUCUGCCUUUGAGCGGGGGACAACAUUUGGAAACGAAUGCUAAUACCGCAUAAAAACUUUAAACACAAGUUUUAAGUUUGAAAGAUGCAAUUGCAUCACUCAAAGAUGAUCCCGCGUUGUAUUAGCUAGUUGGUGAGGUAAAGGCUCACCAAGGCGAUGAUACAUAGCCGACCUGAGAGGGUGAUCGGCCACAUUGGGACUGAGACACGGCCCAAACUCCUACGGGAGGCAGCAGUAGGGAAUCUUCGGCAAUGGACGAAAGUCUGACCGAGCAACGCCGCGUGAGUGAAGAAGGUUUUCGGAUCGUAAAACUCUGUUGGUAGAGAAGAACGUUGGUGAGAGUGGAAAGCUCAUCAAGUGACGGUAACUACCCAGAAAGGGACGGCUAACUACGUGCCAGCAGCCGCGGUAAUACGUAGGUCCCGAGCGUUGUCCGGAUUUAUUGGGCGUAAAGCGAGCGCAGGUGGUUUAUUAAGUCUGGUGUAAAAGGCAGUGGCUCAACCAUUGUAUGCAUUGGAAACUGGUAGACUUGAGUGCAGGAGAGGAGAGUGGAAUUCCAUGUGUAGCGGUGAAAUGCGUAGAUAUAUGGAGGAACACCGGUGGCGAAAGCGGCUCUCUGGCCUGUAACUGACACUGAGGCUCGAAAGCGUGGGGAGCAAACAGGAUUAGAUACCCUGGUAGUCC
Molecule: ribosomal RNA, 805 nt
Filed under: uncultured bacterium
Lineage: Bacteria
Description: bacterial SSU rRNA
Rfam family: Bacterial small subunit ribosomal RNA
Source: RNAcentral